Salmo salar (Atlantic salmon) is the source of this 7126-nucleotide RNA transcript. It is a transcript of the gene named protein phosphatase 1H, with no coding region annotated. The record is from RefSeq and is a predicted model, not a curated record. Lineage: Eukaryota; Metazoa; Chordata; Actinopteri; Salmoniformes; Salmonidae.
UGAGCAAGGAGCACUUCAGAGGGCAAGCAAACAUUGGAUUUGAAGUGACUCGCUUACAAGUAGGCAACUCCUUAUUUACUUUUGUAGUAUACCUGCCAAUGACACUGGACGGCAUUCCAGGAUAACAACUAGCCUACCUUUGACCUACUGCCUGACGUGCUGCUAAUCGUUUAAACUGAUCACAGCGCGAUAGCUGUGCACCCAAAUCCAGAAAACAACCGGUUUGUCACAUGACAGCGCUCAUCAUGAGUUUGUUUCCGCGUCUGAAUGAAAGAGAGAGAGAGGCGCAUAUCUGAACUGUUGCGGUCCGCAAAACGCGCCGCCGAGCCAAGGUGAUAUUCCGGGCAAGGGGACCCGCAAAUUACCGUCGCUCGGACACGCUGCGGCAAUAACAUGUUCACACGGAUGAAAUCAGCUGUGGCCAAUUUUAUGGGAGGUAUGAUGGCUGGCAGUUCAAACGUUGACCAUUUUGGUGGCUCCGAUUUACCGCUGAAAUAUCCGUACACAAGACCGGAGUUUCUGGGACUGUCACCGGAUGAAAUCGAGUGCUCGGCGGAUCAUAUUUCUCGGCCGAUCCUCAUUCUGAAAGAGACGAAGAGGCUGCCAUGGGCCACUGGUUAUGCAGAGGUGAUCAAUGCAGGGAAGAGCCUUCUGAACGAGGACCAGGCAUGCUGUGAGGUGGUGGUAGUGAGGAGGAGACCCAAUGCUGGGGGCAACUCCACCCCCAACCUGACCCCCACCACACGGAGGAGGUCCUCCCUGCCCAAUGGAGAGGGACUGGGGCUCAGGGAGGAUGCUGAUGCAGUGCCCGGACUGACCUUCCACUACUGGGGGCUGUUUGACGGCCAUGCGGGCUCAGGGGCGGCGGUGGUGGCGUCUAAGCUGCUCCAGCACCACAUCGUAGAACACCUCCGAGAGGUCCUGGAUGUCCUGAGGAACCCGGCCCAGCUGGUCCCCAUCAUCCACGGGGAAGAGCCCACCAACCACAACCUCACCCCCACCACCCACAGGGGCAUCACCAGGACCGCCUCACUGCGGGGGGCCGCAGGGGCACCCGGCUCCCCCAGUCACCCCCCUUCCACCAGGUUCUUCACAGAGAAGAAGGUCCAUCAUGAGAGCCUGGUGAUGGGAGCCAUCGAGAAUGCCUUCAAAGAGAUGGAUGCCCAGAUUGAGAGAGACAAGGCUGUGUUUAACGUCUCAGGAGGCUGUACUGCUCUGUGUGCGCUCUUUUUACUCAGAAAGCUCUACGUUGGAAAUGCCGGGGACAGCAGAGCAAUCAUUAUCCGAGGUGGAGAGGUUAUCCCCAUGUCUACAGAGUUCACACCCGAGUCAGAGAGGCAGCGCUUGCAGUUCCUGGCCUACAUGCAGCCACACCUGUUAGGGGGAGAGUUUACACAUCUGGAGUUCCCCAGACGAGUACAGAGGAAGGAGGUGGGGAAGAGGAUGCUCUAUAGGGACUUCACUAUGUCUGGCUGGGCAUAUAAAACCAUUGAGGACGACGACCUGAAGUUUCCCCUAAUCUAUGGCGAAGGGAAGAAGGCACGUGUGUUGGCUACCAUCGGGGUCACCAGGGGCCUGGGAGACCACGAGCUCAAAGUGCAUGACUCCAACAUCUACAUCAAGCCCUUUUUGUCCUGCUGCCCGGAGGUCAAAGUUUACCCUCUGACUCAGUACGAACACGGGGCGGAUGACGUCCUGGUGAUGGGGACAGACGGGCUGUGGGACGUUCUCUCCAACCAGGAGGUUGCCGAGGCAGUCACCUGCUUCCUGGCCAACUGUGACCCUGAUGACCAGCAUAGGCAUGUUGCGUUCAUUCUACUGUAGCACAGCUGCUGCCCCCAGUCAGAUAGAGAGAUAAAUAUUGUAGUCACAAGCCUGAACUUCCACUCACCCUGCUCUUAUUUGGAGAGGAUGACCGUUGUUAUCUUGUCGUAAUUACACACUUUUCUAAACAUUUGGAUAAGUACUUUCUGAAGUUGAUGAAGAGCUUGUGAGACUAGUAAUGGAAAGAUUCCUUUCUUGAGGAUGCCAUGGCAUGGGGGUUGAUUUAAGUAAUCAAAACAGGAAAAACAUUCAAAUCGUUUCCGAAAUGUCCUACCCCUUCAAGGCUUUCUUAGUUUGGGGAUUAGUAAGUUCGCUUCAGGUGGCUAGUGGAAGCGUUUAAAGACUUUCUGAAUGGUACACGAUGGCAGCUCAGGACCUGGUCAUGAGGGCGCGGGGGGUUCUGAAGGACCGAGGCUGGAGGAUAGCCAACGACCGGCUGGGCUCUGGAGAUGACAUCUCCGUCUACAUCAUCCCUCUGAUGUACGGAAACCGGCAGACCUAGUCCAGGCCCAGCUCGCCAGCACCUACCAUGGGACUCAAGACAUAGGCUGUGUCCGAAAUGGCACCCUAUUCCCUAUAUAGUGCACUGCACUACUUUUAGCCAAGUCCAUAGAAAGUAGUGCACUAUAUAGGGUAUGGGAUGCAAUUUUAGGCACUCUCCCAAGUGGCAGACCUAGCUGAGGCCCAGCUAACCACCCACCAUGGGACUCUAGACAGGCUGCUCCCCCUCUCCCAUCUAUCAUAACCCCCCUUUCCUUAAAUCAAUGUCGUGGUGCUCACACAGUGCUUAAUCCUGGAUUGUUUUCCUGGGGAAGCAAAAUGGCACCUGGUUGUUGUACAGUACAGGGUAGCGUGAUUGUGCUUCUCUCUUGUGAAAGGAAAUUCUCAGGAUGUUACAAUAUACAGUACCUUCAGUUUCUUCUUUUGUUUCUGUGCUGCAAAUGAAAAAUUGACAAUUCUGGAGUCAAAGACCUAUAAGGGCCAUGUAUUUUAAACUUUUGAGUAGGCUAUGGUUUCUGCAUAGCCAAAUAUUUUCUGUUACAAUGGAAGGCUAUAGCUUUCACAAAGGUGAUCCUACUCUUUUGGAUAUCGCAUAGGACAAUUUUAAAUGAAGGGCAAAGGAACCGUCUUUCGAAGUGCAGUGCUUUAUGGUGUUGGUUUUUAGCCUAUUUAGAUGAGCUAUUGUUAAUAUAUUACUGAUUAUGAACAUGUAAAUAAGCUUAAACAUGAAUGGAUUUUAGAUAUAGAUUUCAGUUAUAUACCCUGUUUGAGUUGUGUGUACAGUAUACGUUAUGGAACCUGUUUUGUUCCUAUGAUGUUCCGUGUGUCUUUUCUGACUAAAGUCAACCAUCCACAAGUCACUGACCUAGACUAAGGGUGUCAAACAUACAAUCUGGCCUAAGGGUGGUUUUAGUAAAAAUCGGUUUUAUGUUUAGAAAUGAUAAUGGACCUACAUUUUAUACAGUUUCUUGACUGUGUUCAACUGGCUAAUAAUCACCAAAAUGAAAGCUAGACAGUCAGGGAGCAUCAAAUUCCAAAAACGAUGGAUAGAGGACUUUUUUUUUAACCACAUUUUGACAGCUAGGAAAUAAUAAAAAUAUAUAUGACUAGCAAAAUGACUGACUCUUCUGACCUAGACUGUACAAUCCUACCACAAACAUACUAUGGCUUUCAGAACCAUGGUUUGGGUGUUCCUCUCCAAGUGUAAAAUGAAUGAAGUCAGACUGGUUUUAUUGCCAGUGACUGUUUAACUUUUCUCCAUUUUGAUCGGUUUGUAUUUUCUUUGUCAUUGCUGUACUCCUGAAUCUGAAUUUACUUAAAGGAUAUGAAGGGACACAUCUUCACACUCGAUUAGGGUUGCAAACGGCAUGUAUAUUACUGGGAACUUUCUAUGUUUUUUUGGUAUCUUUCAAGGAUUUUAUCCUAUCCAUCACAAGACAUUUAGUGGCCAUUUUGGGUACAUCUGAUUAUCACAGGGGUCUGUAAUAAUCUCUGGCCCUCUGUGUGGCUUUAUCACAUGUACAAUAUAUGAAAUAAUUGAAUAAGAUAAAGUAUAGAAUGAGAAAGCUGUAAAAACAUUAUCCUAAAUAUAUAUUUAGAGAAUACCAUUGGUGUUUAAUGAGGGUUACAGCAUUAAAUAUCUUUAUUUUUAUAAAAUAUUUUACAAACUUUUAUUUUAAUUACUAUGUAUUUAUUGGCUUCAAACUGGUGUCAGUUGUGAAAAAAAAGUCAGUUGGAAGAGUUGCAGAGGGAUAAUCAACGAAGGGCUAUGCGUUCUAUGCAAAACAAUAAUGAACAACGUGGAAGGUGUGUUCCAAGACGCGAUAGCGGAGUAAACUGACCUUCCAUGGAGUUGGAUAAUUUCCCAGAGAACGCAUAGAGCCCCGAGUUGAUUAUCCGUUUUAUACCAUAGCUAUACUUUAACACAUUUGCCAGAAAUGUGUUCAAGUUGCCGUGAUAACCAAACAGACGUGUUUGUUUAGCUAACCAAACCAUCAGUCCUAGCUUGCUAUUAUGAAAAUCGAAUUCAACAAUGCCAAUAAUGUUUUCAAUUCGACUUUUGCUUUCAAAAGCAGCUCAAACAAAACAUGUAAGAGUGAACUAUAGCCAUUGAAUUUUAUGGUGUUGAUAUACCGUGCCUUUAUAGGGAAAUGACGCAUGCUCUAGAAUGCCAAUCAGAAACAAGUAUUCAACAAUGCCAUGGUAUAGUUAAGCAAUAAGACCCAAGGGGAUGUGGUAUAUGGCCAAUAUGCCACAGCUAAUGGCUGUUCUUAAGCACAACGCAGAGCAGAGUGUCUGGAUACAGCCCUUAGCCAUGGUAUUUUGGCCAUAUACUCUACCACAAAGCACUGCCGAGCCUUAUUGCUAUUAUAAAUUGGUUACCAAAGUAAUUAGAAGAGAAAAUAUUUAUUUUUAAUCAUACCCGUGGUAUACGGUCUGAUAUACCACAGCGUUCAGCCAGUCAGCAUUCAGGGCUCAACCGCCCAGUUUAUAAUUGAAAAAAAUUAUGUUGUUGAUUAGAUGCUUUUUUUUCAUUAAUUAGGCUAUUUUCUCUUGAACCAUAAGAUCUAUCUACUAGAAACCCUUGCACAAUAUGGACACAGAUAAAACAAAUUAAUACUAUAUGAUAUAUUUUUUUACAGUUCUAGUAUCAAUUACCAAAGUUAUGAUAGAUUGUGAAAGAUUUUCUGUGAAUUAUCAAAAUUACUGAAGAUUGUGGUAACUUUGGUAAAUUACUGGUAGCUUUGCAACCCUACAUUUGAUACAGAAUAGUGAAACAUCUACCUCAUGCUUUUGGUUUGUUUUAAACAAGAGAUCCAAUCCCUUGUCCCUGUUUCACCUGUGCAUUUUUUCUGUAUGUCAAAUACAUGUCAGCAUCAUCCUGUGUUGCGAGCUUGUUUACUUUAGAAAUAUGACACUGCAUAGGUACUGUGCAUGUGCCAUUCUUUACUUAAAUAAUGUCAUGUCAUUAGUUUUCAUACUAGUAUGGCUUAGUCUAGCUCUGUUCAACAUUGUAUAAUGGCAGGGAUGGGCAACAGUUGCGCUCGCAUACACACAAAACAUUUUAGUCCCCCCCCUCGAGAGCGGAGAUUUUAAAAAAAGUUUAGAGUUCAUUUUGAGAAUCUACAAAUUUUGCUAUGGGGUGUAGAGAAAAUGUUGCAGUUCUAAAGCAAGUUUGCUGCAAUUCCACACAGUUUGCAGUUUUUAAUAUGAUAACUGACUGAUUUCACAAAGUCAAUCGGGGCCCACUGAUGAUAAUUUCGACCAUAAUAAGUUUAUAUAGUUUAGCAGCCAGCUAAUUUAGCUGUCGUUGGCUAAUUUACUGACUCUGAAAUAACAAGAUAAAAACUGUUGAUGCACAACCAAAUUUCUUAAAUUGCACCAUGUGUAUUUUACUAUUUUAACUCUCAACAGUAAGUUGAGACCCCCACUGAGUCCCCCCCCCCCCAAAAAAAAACAACAUAUUUGAUCAAAGGGCGUUCAAAAGGAGAGUUGAUAGUUGCCCAUCCCUGUAUUAGGGGAAAGUCCCCUAUCUGUCAUAUAUUACAUGAAUAUGACAUAAGUAUAAAUGGUUUACUGAAUGUUGUGAGGGCAGAAUAUUUACUUGAGACAUGGUUGUGUCAUUUUAUCUUGAAACAAAUGCUUGAUUUAAUCAAAAGUUCAAGUUACAACAAGUGUGUAUCUCUCAAAUGAACAUUCAGACCUUAAAGGCUAGAGUUACAUCAGAUACAUGUAUUAGGAAGUGUUUAGGAGAAACACAAGAUGCAUUGGAAUGUUGGAAUGAAACUGUUGCCCUCUGUUUUUUUUGGUCGUUUUGAAAUGAUGUUUACUUGUAGUUUACUGUUCCUAUGUCACACAACUCAGGGAGCUAUGUGACUGAUUCUCAUGCCGGAUGUUGAACAGAAUGUUUUCUCUGUUAGAGUGUAUUUUAUCCUGUAUCCUUGUGUUGUUGUGCAGUCUGGUAUUUACACUUUGCUUGAACCGAUACUCUGCAAACUAACCAUUUAUGGCGUUGACCUGAAUCAAUUUCUGUUCAGAUACAGUAUGAAGGAUGUACAGUGUUUUGGGUUCCCACCUUUUUCCCUUUUAUGGAUCAGAGGAUGGAACUAGCAUCUAUUUAAAUGCUUGAUGCACUUCAGUGAUGUAGUAUGUAUAUUCUUUAUUCUAUACAGUGGGCUGACAAUGUCUGCUGGAUGAUCAGUCAGGAGCUACAUUAAUAGGCAUUCCACCUCACGUAGGACCUCUACUGAUGACACUGAUGCUCUAAAGAUAAACCCAUACAGUCACUAAUGAUGUCAGAACUUGGGACUUGCAAGAUGUGUCUGUGGCGUUUUCAGUGGAUUCCUAUCUGAGUUGUUUAAAAAACGUUUUUAGGGAGGUGUUGACGUCUACAACCGCGGUUUCUAAUCCAGUCAAAUCAGUAUCUAGUCAUGCAUAUAUUCCAUGUUAACUCUUACCACUGUUUACCUUUGUUAGCAUGUUUCUUUUCAAGCUGUUUCAAAGUGUUUCUGUUUUGAUUACACAAACUGUACUCAACUGCUCUAUGACUGACUCGCUCAAAACAAUACAGAAAGAGACUCAUGCAGAAUGUAAAAAAGAAUUGUAAAUACAGUACAAUGUAAAAAGACAAGUCGGAAACAAGUCUAUCCUUUGUAAUACUGUAUAUGUUGGACAUUUUUUGUAACUCCAAAAAACACUAAAUGAAUUAAACGGGAAUUCGUAAUGUUUUCAAAACGUAAAUGCAGUGUAAAAAAUUAAGGAUUGCUUUUACAAUUUAUAAAAAAUGCUGUGUGAGCCAUCA